UGUGCCCCUUGAAGUAAUCUGACUUUGUUCCAAGGAAGAUAUUUAGCUGAUCGCAUAUAAUUGAGACACCCUGUGCAGAAUGAAAAAAGGAAAAAAUAUAAAGUCGACUGUAAUCUUAAUAACAUGGCCGCACCGAUCCCGCCUCAACAAGUAAUUAUCAACUUCUCAAAAGAAAUUGAGUUCGCGGAACCGACGAGUUUGUAUAACGAAGAUCCGCUCGCUGCGCGUAGUUUGGGGAAUAAAGGCUCAGUUAUGGGUUCAUGGAAUUGACGCCAAACAGAGGCUGGCUCGUUUAAACGAGAGUGGAACCCAAGAAUAGAGGAAGAGGAAUUAUGAGCAUUAUGCAACAGGUAUAGAGAAAAGAGCAUGGAGCGCAUACGUAUGGUUAGAGUGCUCUUUGUAUGAACAAAUAAGAGCAGUGCAUUUGAGGGGAAAUGAAACAAUAGAAUAAACAUUGACAACAGUGUCUCAACAAACUGAAGACGAUGGAAGAAGACUAUUUUACUACAUAUAAAAAACGAUGAAGACAAGAGCAUUCUGCAGAAAUGAAUGAAAGAAAGAAACACAUAGAGGAUUAUAACAAACACACAUUUGCUUAAAUACACAUUAUAUUAGCAAUUGUAAAUCUAAGCCACAGACCAUAAGGGCUAAUAAAAAUGGGUACUAUAUUAUAAUGUUUUUAAUAAAUGCAAAAGGUGGGUAUAAUAAUCUAGUAAAUAGGCGUUCUAGUUAUUUAUAAUGUUCC
This 745-nucleotide unclassified non-coding RNA is filed under the name Bombus terrestris (buff-tailed bumblebee). Its description in RNAcentral is "misc RNA ENSBTSG00005020328.1". The record is from RNAcentral. Lineage: Eukaryota; Metazoa; Arthropoda; Insecta; Hymenoptera; Apidae.